Molecule: ribosomal RNA, 80 nt
Filed under: Acinetobacter baumannii
Lineage: Bacteria; Pseudomonadati; Pseudomonadota; Gammaproteobacteria; Moraxellales; Moraxellaceae
Description: partial 16S ribosomal RNA
Rfam family: Bacterial small subunit ribosomal RNA
Source: RNAcentral
UUUAACUGAAGAGUUUGAUCAUGGCUCAGAUUGAACGCUGGCGGCAGGCUUAACACAUGCAAGUCGAGCGGGGGAAGGUA